This 497-nucleotide ribosomal RNA is filed under the name uncultured bacterium. RNAcentral's name for it is "partial 16S ribosomal RNA". It matches the Rfam family "Bacterial small subunit ribosomal RNA", at positions 28 to 507 of the family's 1533-position model. The record is from RNAcentral.
GAUGAACGCUGGCGGCGUGCCUAAUACAUGCAAGUCGAGCGAACAGACGAGGAGCUUGCUCCUUCGACGUUAGCGGCGGACGGGUGAGUAACACGUAGGUAACCUACUUAUAAGACUGGGAUAACUUCGGGAAACCGGAGCAAAUACCGGAUAAUAUUUCGAACCGCAUGGUUCGAUAGUGAAAGAUGGCUUUGCUAUCACUUAUAGAUGGACCUGCGCCGUAUUAGCUAGUUGGUAAGGUAACGGCUUACCAAGGCAACGAUACGUAGCCGACCUGAGAGGGUGAUCGGCCACACUGGAACUGAGACACGGUCCAGACUCCUACGGGAGGCAGCAGUAGGGAAUCUUCCGCAAUGGGCGAAAGCCUGACGGAGCAACGCCGCGUGAGUGAUGAAGGUCUUCGGAUCGUAAAACUCUGUUAUUAGGGAAGAACAAACGUGUAAGUAACUGUGCACGUCUUGACGGUACCUAAUCAGAAAGCCACGGCUAACUACGUG